This 77-nucleotide transfer RNA is filed under the name Marinospirillum insulare. RNAcentral describes it as "tRNA-Pro". It matches the Rfam family "tRNA". From Rfam's summary of the family: Transfer RNA (tRNA) molecules are approximately 80 nucleotides in length. Their secondary structure includes four short double-helical elements and three loops (D, anti-codon, and T loops). RNAcentral also lists the same sequence under 3 other names. Lineage: Bacteria; Pseudomonadati; Pseudomonadota; Gammaproteobacteria; Oceanospirillales; Oceanospirillaceae. The record is from RNAcentral.
CGGAGUGUGGCGCAGCUUGGUAGCGCACUUGCAUGGGGUGCAAGGGGUCGUAGGUUCGAAUCCUAUCACUCCGACCA